This 112-nucleotide ribosomal RNA is filed under the name Acanthosepion pharaonis. Lineage: Eukaryota; Metazoa; Mollusca; Cephalopoda; Sepiida; Sepiidae. The record is from RNAcentral.
ACGGUUAAAUCACGCUGAAACACCGGUUCUCCUUCGAUCACCGAAGUUAAGCAUCGUAGAGCCAGGUUAGUACUUAGAUGGGGACCGCUUGGGAACACCUGGUACUGUAAGC